This 347-nucleotide ribosomal RNA is filed under the name uncultured bacterium. Its description in RNAcentral is "partial 16S ribosomal RNA". It matches the Rfam family "Bacterial small subunit ribosomal RNA", at positions 338 to 696 of the family's 1533-position model. The record is from RNAcentral.
CCUACGGGAGGCAGCAGUCGAGAAUCAUUCACAAUGGGGGAAACCCUGAUGGUGCGACGCCGCGUGGGGGAAUGAAGGUCUUCGGAUUGUAAACCCCUGUCAUGUGGGAGCAAAUUAAAACGAUAGUACCACAAGAGGAAGCGACGGCUAACUCUGUACCAGCCGCCGCGGUAAUACAGAGGUCUCAAGCGUUGUUCGGAAUCACUGGGCGUAAGGGGUGCGUAGGCGGUGUCGUAAGUCGGGUGUGAAAGGCGCGGGCUCAACCCGCGGACGGCACAUGAUACUAAGAGACUAGAGUAAUGGAGGGGGAACCGGAAUUCUCGGUGUAGCAGUGAAAUGCGUAGAUA